CAUUUACUCCCUCCGUCCGGAAAUACUUGUCGGAGAAAUGGAUGUAUCUAGACAUAUUUUAGUCCUAGAUACAUCGACUUUUAUCCAUUUGUGCGACAAGUAAUUCCGGACGGAGGGAGUAUAUA
Molecule: non-coding RNA, 125 nt
Organism: Triticum aestivum (bread wheat)
Lineage: Eukaryota; Viridiplantae; Streptophyta; Magnoliopsida; Poales; Poaceae
Source: Rfam